Molecule: small nucleolar RNA, 124 nt
Organism: Sorex araneus (European shrew)
Lineage: Eukaryota; Metazoa; Chordata; Mammalia; Eulipotyphla; Soricidae
Source: Ensembl
ACACCCUUUUAAAAGUGGACACAGUGCUUUAAAGAGUGAGCACAGGAAGGUAAAGUAAGUCUCCAUAAAAUUCAGAAAGGAAAUUGUAAAAGCUCCUUCUUGGAUCCUGUCUGGAGUUACAGCC